AGAUUGAACGCUGGCGGCAUGCCUUACACAUGCAAGUCGAACGGCAGCACGGGAGCAAUCCUGGUGGCGAGUGGCGAACGGGUGAGUAAUAUAUCGGAACGUGCCCAGUCGUGGGGGAUAACGCAGCGAAAGCUGUGCUAAUACCGCAUACGAUCUAUGGAUGAAAGCGGGGGAUCGCAAGACCUCGCGCGAUUGGAGCGGCCGAUAUCAGAUUAGCUAGUCGGUGGGGUAAAAGCCUACCAAGGCGACGAUCUGUAGCUGGUCUGAGAGGACGACCAGCCACACUGGAACUGAGACACGGUCCAGACUCCUACGGGAGGCAGCAGUGGGGAAUUUUGGACAAUGGGCGCAAGCCUGAUCCAGCAAUGCCGCGUGCAGGAUGAAGGCCUUCGGUUGUAAACUGCUUUUGUACGAACGAACGGUCCUCUCUAAUACAGGGCUAAGUGACGGUACCGUAAGAAGUAAGACACCGGACUAACUACGUGACCG
RNAcentral lists this ribosomal RNA (489 nucleotides) under uncultured soil bacterium. Its description in RNAcentral is "bacterial SSU rRNA". It matches the Rfam family "Bacterial small subunit ribosomal RNA", at positions 26 to 511 of the family's 1533-position model. The record is from RNAcentral.